UACGAAGGGUGCUAGCGUUGUUCGGAAUCACUGGGCGUAAAGCGCGCGUAGGCGGCUUGCCAAGUCAGAGGUGAAAUGCCGGGGCUUAACCCCGGAACUGCCUUUGAAACUGGCUGGCUAGAGUACUGGAGGGGAUAGCGGAAUUCCUAAUGUAGCGGUGAAAUGCGUAGAUAUUAGGAGGAACACCGGUGGCGAAGGCGGCUAUCUGGACAGUAACUGACGCUGAGGCGCGAAAGCGUGGGGAUCAAACAGG
Molecule: ribosomal RNA, 253 nt
Filed under: uncultured bacterium
Lineage: Bacteria
Description: partial 16S ribosomal RNA
Rfam family: Bacterial small subunit ribosomal RNA
Source: RNAcentral